GGCGAACGCUGGCGGCAGGCUUAACACAUGCAAGUCGAGCGGGCAUCUUCGGAUGUCAGCGGCAGACGGGUGAGUAACACGUGGGAACGUACCCUUCGGUUCGGAACAACUCUGGGAAACUGGAGCUAAUACCGGAUACGCCCUUAUGGGGAAAGGUUUACUGCGGAAGGAUCGGCCCGCGGCUGAUUAGCUAGUUGGUGGGGUAACGGCCUACCAAGGCGACGAUCAGUAGCUGGUCUGAGAGGAUGAUCAGCCACACUGGGACUGAGACACGGCCCAGACUCCUACGGGAGGCAGCAGUGGGGAAUAUUGGACAAUGGGCGCAAGCCUGAUCCAGCCAUGCCGCGUGAGUGAUGAAGGCCUUAGGGUUGUAAAGCUCUUUUGUCCGGGACGAUAAUGACGGUACCGGAAGAAUAAGCCCCGGCUAACUUCGUG
This 435-nucleotide ribosomal RNA is filed under the name uncultured bacterium. Its description in RNAcentral is "partial 16S ribosomal RNA". It matches the Rfam family "Bacterial small subunit ribosomal RNA", at positions 28 to 507 of the family's 1533-position model. The record is from RNAcentral.